This 82-nucleotide transfer RNA is filed under the name Bacteroidales bacterium. Its description in RNAcentral is "tRNA-Leu". It matches the Rfam family "tRNA". From Rfam's summary of the family: Transfer RNA (tRNA) molecules are approximately 80 nucleotides in length. Their secondary structure includes four short double-helical elements and three loops (D, anti-codon, and T loops). Further hydrogen bonds mediate the characteristic L-shaped molecular structure. tRNAs have two regions of fundamental functional importance: the anti-codon, which is responsible for specific mRNA codon recognition, and the 3' end, to which the tRNAs corresponding amino acid is attached (by aminoacyl-tRNA synthetases). tRNAs cope with the degeneracy of the genetic code in two manners: having more than one tRNA (with a specific anti-codon) for a particular amino acid; and 'wobble' base-pairing, i.e. permitting non-standard base-pairing at the 3rd anti-codon position. The record is from RNAcentral. Lineage: Bacteria; Pseudomonadati; Bacteroidota; Bacteroidia; Bacteroidales.
GCGGAUGUGGCGUAAUUGGUAGCCGCGAUAGACUUAGGAUCUAUUGUCGAAAGGCGUGGGGGUUCGAGUCCCUUCAUCCGCA